UACGAAGGGGGCUAGCGUUGCUCGGAUUUACUGGGCGUAAAGGGCGCGUAGGCGGACAGUUAAGUUGGGGGUGAAAACCCGGGGCUCAACCCCGGGCCUGCAGUCGAUACGGGCAGACUAGAGUGCGGUAGGGGAGACUGGAAUUCCUGGUGUAGCGGUGAAAUGCGUAGAGAUCAGGAAGAACACCCGUGGCGAAGGCGGCCCACUGGGCCGGUACUGACGCUGAGGCACGAAGGCGUGGGGAGCGAACGGG
RNAcentral lists this ribosomal RNA (253 nucleotides) under uncultured bacterium. RNAcentral's name for it is "partial 16S ribosomal RNA". It matches the Rfam family "Bacterial small subunit ribosomal RNA", at positions 524 to 776 of the family's 1533-position model. The record is from RNAcentral.